GACGAACGCUGGCGGCGUGCUUAACACAUGCAAGUCGAACGGAAAGGCCCUGCUUUUGUGGGGUGCUCGAGUGGCGAACGGGUGAGUAACACGUGAGUAACCUGCCCUUGACUUUGGGAUAACUUCAGGAAACUGGGGCUAAUACCGGAUAGGAGCUCCUGCUGCAUGGUGGGGGUUGGAAAGUUUCGGCGGUUGGGGAUGGACUCGCGGCUUAUCAGCUUGUUGGUGGGGUAGUGGCUUACCAAGGCUUUGACGGGUAGCCCGCCUGAGAGGGUUACCGGCGACAUUGGGACUGCGAUACGCAGCAGACUGCUACGGGAGGCAGCAGUGGGGAGUAUUGCAGAAUGGGCGGGAGCGUGAUGCAACAACGCUGCGUGCGGGAUGACGGCCUUCGGGUUGUAAACCGCUUUGGACUGAGCCGAAGCGUGAGUGACGGUAAUGGGUAAAGAAGCACCGGCUAACUACGUG
RNAcentral lists this ribosomal RNA (468 nucleotides) under uncultured bacterium. Its description in RNAcentral is "partial 16S ribosomal RNA". It matches the Rfam family "Bacterial small subunit ribosomal RNA", at positions 28 to 507 of the family's 1533-position model. The record is from RNAcentral.